GGGCUGGUAGCUCAGCGGUCUAGAGCAACCGACUCAUAAUCGGUUAGACGUCGGUUCGAAUCCGACCCAGCCCA
RNAcentral lists this transfer RNA (74 nucleotides) under Planctomycetota bacterium. Its description in RNAcentral is "tRNA-Ile". It matches the Rfam family "tRNA". Rfam says of the family: Transfer RNA (tRNA) molecules are approximately 80 nucleotides in length. Their secondary structure includes four short double-helical elements and three loops (D, anti-codon, and T loops). Further hydrogen bonds mediate the characteristic L-shaped molecular structure. tRNAs have two regions of fundamental functional importance: the anti-codon, which is responsible for specific mRNA codon recognition, and the 3' end, to which the tRNAs corresponding amino acid is attached (by aminoacyl-tRNA synthetases). tRNAs cope with the degeneracy of the genetic code in two manners: having more than one tRNA (with a specific anti-codon) for a particular amino acid; and 'wobble' base-pairing, i.e. permitting non-standard base-pairing at the 3rd anti-codon position. Lineage: Bacteria; Pseudomonadati; Planctomycetota. The record is from RNAcentral. RNAcentral also lists the same sequence under 1 other name.